AACGAACGCUGGCGGCAGGCCUAACACAUGCAAGUCGAGCGGACCUUUCGGGGUCAGCGGCGGACGGGUGGGUAACGCGUGGGAAUAUGCCCUUCUCUACGGCAUAUUCCUGGGAAACUGGUGGUAAUACCGUAUCCGCCCUUUCGGGGGAAGAUUUAUCGGGGAAGGAUUAGCCCGCGUUGGAUUAGGUAGUUGGUGGGGUAAUGGCCUACCAAGCCGACGAUCCAUAGCUGGUUUGAGAGGAUGAUCAGCCACACUGGUACUGAGACACGGCCCAGAAUCCUACGGGAGGCAGCAGUGGGGAAUCUUAGACAAUGGGGGCAACCCUGAUCGAGCCAUGACGGGUGAGUGAUGAAGGCCUGAGGGUUGUAAAGCUAGUUAAGCUGGGAAGAUAAUGACGGUACCAGCAGAAGAAGCCCCGGCUAACUUCGUG
This 433-nucleotide ribosomal RNA is filed under the name uncultured bacterium. RNAcentral describes it as "partial 16S ribosomal RNA". It matches the Rfam family "Bacterial small subunit ribosomal RNA", at positions 29 to 507 of the family's 1533-position model. The record is from RNAcentral.